Molecule: ribosomal RNA, 274 nt
Filed under: uncultured bacterium
Lineage: Bacteria
Description: partial 16S ribosomal RNA
Rfam family: Bacterial small subunit ribosomal RNA
Source: RNAcentral
AUACGGAGGGUGCAAGCGUUAUUCGGAAUCACUGGGCGUAAAGGACGCGUAGGCGGGUUGGCAAGUCAGAUGUGAAAUCCUACAGCUUAACUGUAGAACUGCAUUUGAAACUGCUAACCUAGAGUAUGGGAGGGGGAGAUGGAAUUAGUGGUGUAGGGGUAAAAUCCGUAGAUAUCACUAGGAAGACCGAAAGCGAAGGCGAUCUCCUGGAACAUAACUGACGCUAAGGCGUGAAAGCGUGGGGAGCAAACAGGAGUAGAAACCCUAGUAGUCC